CAUAACACGUUGAAACACCGAUUCUCGUGCGAUCACCGAAGUUAAGCAACGUCCGGCCUGGUCAGAACUGUAGCUAUAUAGGUGAGCGCCUGGGAAUAAAAGGUGCUGCAAA
This is a non-coding RNA of Acanthosepion pharaonis, 112 nucleotides long. NCBI's taxonomy places the organism in Eukaryota, Metazoa, Mollusca, Cephalopoda, Sepiida, Sepiidae. The record is from the annotation of a GenBank genome assembly.